AACGAACGCUGGCGGCAGGCUUAACACAUGCAAGUCGAACGCCCCGCAAGGGGAGUGGCAGACGGGUGAGUAACGCGUGGGAACAUACCCUUUUCUACGGAAUAGCUCUGGGAAACUGGAAUUAAUACCGUAUACGCCCUACGGGGGAAAGAUUUAUCGGGGAAGGAUUGGCCCGCGUUGGAUUAGCUAGUUGGUGGGGUAAAGGCCUACCAAGGCGACGAUCCAUAGCUGGUCUGAGAGGAUGAUCAGCCACAUUGGGACUGAGACACGGCCCAAACUCCUACGGGAGGCAGCAGUGGGGAAUAUUGGACAAUGGGCGCAAGCCCGAUCCAGCCAUGCCGCGUGAGUGAUGAAGGCCUUAGGGUUGUAAAGCUCUUUCACCGAUGAAGAUAAUGACGGUAGUCGGAGAAGAAGCCCCGGCUAACUUCGUG
RNAcentral lists this ribosomal RNA (431 nucleotides) under uncultured bacterium. RNAcentral describes it as "partial 16S ribosomal RNA". It matches the Rfam family "Bacterial small subunit ribosomal RNA", at positions 29 to 507 of the family's 1533-position model. The record is from RNAcentral.